AACUUGUUUAUGUUUCAAGUCCUUUUCACUUUGCUCAUUUGAGCCAUAUCUUGUGAUUUUAUAUAUUGUUUAUUUGUCUUUUGUUUGGUUUAUGGUCUUAGGACCCUAAAACACCUAAUAAAAAUAAAAAUCCUAAAAAACAUCUGGUUGGACUGUUCAGAUUUGAUAUGAACCUCUGGACUUAGAACUAGGUAACAUUCCCUGUGCUAAAGGACUUGGCCAAUGCUAACUUUUGAGACUG
This 241-nucleotide long non-coding RNA is filed under the name Lathyrus oleraceus (garden pea). RNAcentral describes it as "Pisum sativum (pea) long non-coding RNA (PSAT_LNC016442)". The record is from RNAcentral. Lineage: Eukaryota; Viridiplantae; Streptophyta; Magnoliopsida; Fabales; Fabaceae.